AACGUAGGUGGCGAGCGUUAUCCGGAUUUACUGGGCGUAAAGGGUGUGCAGGCGGGCUGUUAAGUGGUGUAUGAAAUAUCCCGGCUCAACCGGGAGAGGUUAUGCCAGACUGGCAGUCUAGAGAGCGAGAGAGGGACGUGGAAUUCCGGGUGUAGUGGUGAAAUGCGUAGAUAUCAGGAAGAACACCAAUGGCGAAAGCAGCUCUCUGGGACGGUACUGACGCUGAGACGCGAAAGCGUGGGGAGCGAACAGG
This 253-nucleotide ribosomal RNA is filed under the name uncultured bacterium. Its description in RNAcentral is "partial 16S ribosomal RNA". It matches the Rfam family "Bacterial small subunit ribosomal RNA", at positions 524 to 776 of the family's 1533-position model. The record is from RNAcentral.